ACCUCUUGGAUACUAACCAUUAAUUCUAUUGUUUUUCUUUUACGUUGUAGGCAAUGGUCGGAAAAUAAGUGUGAAAUUCCAGAAAAGACCCUUUUACAAUUCCAGCAUAUCGUGUACGCACCCAUGGAAGACGGCAAGAUAGAAAGUGGCGUGCAUAGGGCUGGUAGAUAAGAUGUUAACUCUCUUCCUGAAUAAGGAGGCAGCAAUGGCGAAGGGGAUCAAUGCAAGGAGGACCCAUGUAUUUAAUUUAAAAUAGCAUUAAUGAUCGGAAUCAUCUAUACCAACGGGAAUGGAGUAAAAUUCCAUGAUCUAAAUAAUAAUCCUGGAAUACUACCGUACAAAUUAGAAAGGGACGUCGGAGAAAAAGAGCUCACAAACAAGACAGGGAAUCCUACCCCCAAAUCCCCCAAAGCCAGCAUGAACUUUUCAUCCAUCCAGGCGGAGGAGCUGCUAAGGUCACCAGCCGCCAGCAACUCAGAAGCUGAAGUAAGCGAAAACUCCUCGACCAGGGCAGAACCGAAAGGUUUUGACCAGGCGGGGAGAACGCUACCGAAGCCGAAAAAUUGCUGCGACUCAUGAAAAAAAAGAAGCAGGCAAAGAACCGCAACCGCACAAAGAGGCGGAAAGAGGAAAAACAGAGGAAGAAGGAGGAGCGAGAAGCCAACCAGGAGGGAUCAACAGUUCGUCCAGGACCAGCUUCUGCUUCUACAAAUCCUCUUGUAGGAGGCAGCUCUAAGGGCACUACCAAAGCCUCGAACAGCAUGCAACACUCGAGGAGUCGCCAGCUAGUAAAAGGGCGUGGACCAAGGGCAAAACAUGUGAGGCGAGAGGCAGAUAAGCUGAAGCCAAUCAUCCUGCCCACGGCACCCGCCGCUGUCAGGGAGGAGGACACCCAGCACCGGCGCCUCUAGCAAAAAGAGGCAAAUCAAAAAGGACACCCCACCCGACCGCCAACAUAAGAAGCCUAGGCAACGGGCAGGUCCAUCCCUCAAAAAGAUGUGCAGAC
This is a long non-coding RNA of Anthonomus grandis grandis, 1006 nucleotides long. RefSeq lists it as uncharacterized. The transcript is spliced from 3 exons. NCBI's taxonomy places the organism in Eukaryota, Metazoa, Arthropoda, Insecta, Coleoptera, Curculionidae. The record is from RefSeq and is a predicted model, not a curated record.